UGAGUGUCCAGCGAGGUGGUGUGGCCGGAAGAGAGUAUGCAAUCUUUUUCCUGAGUGUCCAGCGAGGUGGUGUGGCCGGAAGAGAGUAUGUAAUCUAUUUCCUGAGUGUCCAGCGAGGUGGUGUGGCCGGAAGAGAGUAUGUAAUCUUUUUCCUGAGUGUCCAGCGAGGUGGUGUGGCCGGAAGAGAGUAUGCAAUCUUUUUCCUGAGUGUCCAGGGAGGUGGUGUGGCCGGAAGAGAGUAUGCAAUCUUUUUCCUGAGUGUCCAGCGAGGUGGUGUGGCCGGAAGAGAGUAUGUGAUCAUUUUCCUGAGUGUCCAGCGAGGUGGUGUGGCCGGAAGAGAGUAUGCAAUCUUUUUCCUGAGUGUCGAGCGAGGAGAGAAUAUAAUCGCUUUCCUCUGUUUUGAGAAAGGCGGAGUGGACGGAGGAGAAAAUAUAUGUAUCUUUUUGGGGAGAAUGUUUAGAGAGGCGAUGAUGCGAGAUGAGGAGUAACGUUGAGCA
This is a long non-coding RNA of Eriocheir sinensis (Chinese mitten crab), 497 nucleotides long. RefSeq lists it as uncharacterized. The record is from RefSeq and is a predicted model, not a curated record. NCBI's taxonomy places the organism in Eukaryota, Metazoa, Arthropoda, Malacostraca, Decapoda, Varunidae. The transcript is spliced from 3 exons.